This 1628-nucleotide long non-coding RNA is filed under the name Sus scrofa (pig). RNAcentral describes it as "lncRNA (ENSSSCG00060063207.1)". Lineage: Eukaryota; Metazoa; Chordata; Mammalia; Artiodactyla; Suidae. The record is from RNAcentral.
AGACGUCAAUAGCGUCAGGCUUGAGAAAUUCUACACUGAAUCCUUUAGGAGGAAUUUCUGGAAGUCACUGCAUGAUAUGGAAAGAGCUGGCUCCUGACUUCUGUCUGCACUAUAGGUUCUCUGAGGUUAGCCUGCAUCCGAAUUGCCAGCUUUUUACAUCACAUUAAGGACCUGGAAACCACCAUUCUAGUCUCUGCUUCUCUGACUUUGGUUACUUUUCAUACUGCCUGGGCGUGGAAUCCUGCAGUAUUUGUCCUGUGACUGACUCACUUCCCUUGGCCUGGUGCCCUCAACGCUCUUGAUGGUGUUGCAGGUCAAGACAUUGCCUGCUUUUGAAAGACUAGACCUUUCAUCUGUGCAUGGACAAUUUAGGUUGUUUCCACAUCUUGGCUGUUCACUGCAGUGAACAUGGAAGUACAAAGAACUUUCUGAGAUCCUGAUUCCAAGGCUUUGGAAUAUACACCCAGGCGUGGGAAUGCUGGAUCACAUGUUAGCUGGACUUUGAAUUUUUUGAAUGACCUCCGCACCGUGUUCCAUGGUGGCUGUGAGGCAGGAGGUGGAUGGGCACAAGGAUAGUAUUUACAACCAGCCACCUGCCUAGCCUCCAAGGCAGGAAUAACAACAGGCACAAGGCAAAUAACUGGUACUUGUCUUCUGUGAACUAUUAAACAAGGGUAAUGGCAGGAUCAGAAGAGGGGCUGAGCCCUGCUUGGACGAAAGACCAAGAGGUCACCUACUUCCCAUCCUCAGGGUCAGGGAGACCCCCGGCUAUACAUGCACAGAGAGACCCCUCUGGGUCAGAGACGGAGGGGGUGCCAGGCCAUAGUAAGUCUGGAUAAUCUUCCCAUCAUGCCUUGCUUUGGAAUCCAUCUUGGCCAAAAUUGCACAACAGACUGGGGAGGGCCCUGGGUCCAGUCAGGUGGGAAAAAAUAAAACAAGGUAAUUGGCCAAAGGUAAAGACCAGGAAGAACUGCCCCACAUAAGUGGUUUUAAUCACCUCUCUGGCACGCUCCUCAUUCAGGGGGACUCCCACACCCCUGCUCCUCCUUUGGGUGUGUAGGACUGCUUUGCUUCUGCCUUAGACAAAUAGGCGCCCUCAUGUUCCACCGUGUUUCCAACAAUAAGCUUUGUGCCUGCUUUUACAGUCUCUGCCUCCUUGAAACAUUCUUGCUUUCAACAGGGGGCAAGAAUCAGGGCCAUUCGGCUUGUAACCUCUAGCUGGUCUAGCGGCUGGGAUUCCUGGUUUCACCCAAGCCGCGCAGGUUCACUUCCUGAGCAGGGAAUUAAGAUCUGGCUUCAAGCCACCACUCACUGCUGUCUCUCGGAAAUCACCUGCCCUGUUUUAUGUGCCCACCUUCAGUGGACAAAGGGUCCAGUUUCUCCACAUCCUCACCAACACCAGACACCAUCACCAGACCAUCUGACUCCAGCCCUGAUGACUUUGAAACGAUCUGUGGAAGGAGAAGAACGCAGGCACCCCAAUCCUUAUCGACAGCCCUGUUUUCUUUCAAGCUAAACCUAUACGACCCCUUGCUGUCCCCUCUCAAGAGAGGACAGAGUUUUGAGGCAUUAGCCUUCUGUGGCCUCCUUUGCUUGGCAAAACAAUAAAACUGUUCUUUCUGCUUCAC